ACCAGACUCCUACGGGAGGCAGCAGUGGGGAAUAUUGGGCAAUGGGCGCAAGCCUGACCCAGCAACGCCGCGUGAAGGAAGAAGGCUUUCGGGUUGUAAACUUCUUUUAAGAGGGAAGAGUAGAAGACGGUACCUCUUGAAUAAGCCGCGGCUAACCACGUGCCAGCAGCCGCGGUAAUACGUAGGUGGCAAGCGUUAUCCGGAAUUAUUGGGCGUAAAGAGGGAGCAGGCGGCAGCAAAGGUCUGUGGUGAAAGACUGAAGCUUAACUUCAGUAAGCCAUAGAAACCGGGCAGCUAGAGUGCAGGAGAGGAUCGUGGAAUUCCAUGUGUAGCGGUGAAAUGCGUAGAUAUAUGGAGGAACACCAGUGGCGAAGGCGACGAUCUGGCCUGCAACUGACGCUCAGUCCCGAAAGCGUGGGGAGCAAAUAGGAUUAGAUACCCCCGUAA
This 447-nucleotide ribosomal RNA is filed under the name uncultured bacterium. RNAcentral describes it as "partial 16S ribosomal RNA". It matches the Rfam family "Bacterial small subunit ribosomal RNA", at positions 330 to 793 of the family's 1533-position model. The record is from RNAcentral.